GAGGGUAUAGCUCAAUGGUACAGUGCAUGCUUAGCAUGCACUAGGUCCUGUGUUCAAUCCCCAGUACCUCCA
Transfer RNA from Camelus ferus (Wild Bactrian camel), 72 nucleotides. It matches the Rfam family "tRNA". From Rfam's summary of the family: Transfer RNA (tRNA) molecules are approximately 80 nucleotides in length. Their secondary structure includes four short double-helical elements and three loops (D, anti-codon, and T loops). NCBI's taxonomy places the organism in Eukaryota, Metazoa, Chordata, Mammalia, Artiodactyla, Camelidae. The record is from Rfam.